GACGAACGCUGGCGGCGUGCCUAAUACAUGCAAGUUGAGCGCUGAAGGGUGGUUCUUGUCCCAACUGGGUGAGCAGCGGACGGGUGAGUAACGCGUGGGGAAUCUGCCUUUGAGCGGGGGACAACAUUUGGAAACGAAUGCUAAUACCGCAUAAAAACUUUAAACACAAGUUUUAAGUUUGAAAGAUGCAAUUGCAUCACUCAAAGAUGAUCCCGCGUUGUAUUAGCUAGUUGGUGAGGUAAAGGCUCACCAAGGCGAUGAUACAUAGCCGACCCGAGAGGGGGGUUGGCCACAAUGGGACUGGAGCACGGGCCAAACCUCUACGGGGGGGAGGAGUAGGGGAACUUCGGAAAUGGACGGAAGUCUGACCGAGCAACGGCGGGGGGGUGGAGAAAGUUUUCGGGACGGAAAACUCUGUUGGUAGGGGAGAAAGGUGGGGAGAGUGGAAAGCUCAUCAAGUGACGGUAACUACCCAGAAAGGGACGGCUAACUACGUG
This 497-nucleotide ribosomal RNA is filed under the name uncultured bacterium. RNAcentral describes it as "partial 16S ribosomal RNA". It matches the Rfam family "Bacterial small subunit ribosomal RNA", at positions 28 to 507 of the family's 1533-position model. The record is from RNAcentral.